UAGCUAGUUGGUGAGGUAACGGCCCACCAAGGCGACGAUCGGUAGCCGGACUGAGAGGUUGAACGGCCACAUUGGGACUGAGACACGGCCCAGACUCCUACGGGAGGCAGCAGUGGGGAAUAUUGCACAAUGGGGGAAACCCUGAUGCAGCGACGCCGCGUGGAGGAAGAAGGUCUUCGGAUUGUAAACUCCUGUUGUUGAGGAAGAUAAUGACGGUACUCAACAAGGAAGUGACGGCUAACUACGUGCCAGCAGCCGCGGUAAAACGUAGGUCACAAGCGUUGUCCGGAAUUACUGGGUGUAAAGGGAGCGCAGGCGGGAAGACAAGUUGGAAGUGAAAUCUAUGGGCUCAACCCAUAAACUGCUUUCAAAACUGUUUUUCUUGAGUAGUGCAGAGGUAGGCGGAAUUCCCGGUGUAGCGGUGGAAUGCGAAGAUAUCGGGAGGAACACCAGUGGCGAAGGCGGCCUACUGGGCACCAACUGACGCUGAGGCUCGAAAGUGUGGGUAGCAAACAGGAUUAGAUACCCUGGUAGUCCACACCGUAAACGAUGAUUACUAGGUGUUGGAGGAUUGACCCCUUCAGUGCCGCAGUUAACACAAUAAGUAAUCCACCUGGGGAGUACGACCGCAAGGUUGAAACUCAAAGGAAUAGACGGGGGCCCGCACAAGCAGUGGAGUAUGUGGUUUAAUUCGACGCAACGCGAAGAACCUUACCAAGUCUUGACAUCCUGCGACGAUGCUGGAAACAGUAUUUUCCUUCGGGACGCAGAGACAGGUGGUGCAUGGUUGUCGUCAGCUCGUGUCGUGAGAUGUUGGGUUAAGUCCCGCAACGAGCGCAACCCUUACUGUCAGUUACUACGCAAGAGGACUCUGGCAGGACUGCCGUUGACAAAACGGAGGAAGGUGGGGAUGACGUCAAAUCAUCAUGCCCUUUAUGACUUGGGCUACACACGUACUACAAUGGCGUUAAACAAAGAGAAGCAAGACCGCGAGGUGGAGCAAAACUCAGAAACAACGUCCCAGUUCGGACUGCAGGCUGCAACUCGCCUGCACGAAGUCGGAAUUGCUAGUAAUCGUGGAUCAGCAUGCCACGGUGAAUACGUUCCCGGGCCUUGUACACACCGCCCGUCACACCAUGAGAGCCGGGGGGACCCGAAGUCGGUAGUCUAACCGCAAGGAGGACGCCGCCGAAGGUAAAACUGGUGAUUGGGGUGAAGUCGUAACAAGGUAGCCGUAGGAGACCUGCGGCUG
Molecule: ribosomal RNA, 1252 nt
Filed under: metagenome
Description: bacterial SSU rRNA
Rfam family: Bacterial small subunit ribosomal RNA
Source: RNAcentral